This 423-nucleotide ribosomal RNA is filed under the name uncultured bacterium. Its description in RNAcentral is "partial 16S ribosomal RNA". It matches the Rfam family "Bacterial small subunit ribosomal RNA", at positions 355 to 769 of the family's 1533-position model. The record is from RNAcentral.
UGGGGAAUUUUGGACAAUGGGCGAAAGCCUGAUCCAGCAAUGCCGCGUGUGUGAAGAAGGCCUUCGGGUUGUAAAGCACUUUUGUCCGGAAAGAAAUCCUUGGCUCUAAUACAGUCGGGGGAUGACGGUACCGGAAGAAUAAGCACCGGCUAACUACGUGCCAGCAGCCGCGGUAAUACGUAGGGUGCAAGCGUUAAUCGGAAUUACUGGGCGUAAAGCGUGCGCAGGCGGUUUGCUAAGACCGAUGUGAAAUCCCCGGGCUCAACCUGGGAACUGCAUUGGUGACUGGCAGGCUAGAGUAUGGCAGAGGGGGGUAGAAUUCCACGUGUAGCAGUGAAAUGCGUAGAGAUGUGGAGGAAUACCGAUGGCGAAGGCAGCCCCCUGGGCCAAUACUGACGCUCAUGCACGAAAGCGUGGGGGAGC